AGACGACGAUCGAUUCUUUGCUGUCGAGGAGGCUCUUCUUUUCAGCCAUAUUUUUUCUGGAGCAUGGGAAAUGUAUGUAGUUCAUAUGACGAACCGCUGACCAAAAUGGCGCACACACAAAACGGAUUCGGAUCGAUUCGACCCCGUUCCGUAUCGUGAAAGACCGGAAAAAAACCCUAGCCGCCGAUCCGUAUAAAGGUUCCCAAGAUGGUGAGGAGCUUUCGUUUGCCACGGGAAGGCGUUGAAGAAGGCGAAGUCUGCUGCAAUGGUGUCUGGGUCGGGGUUGUGCGCGCGACGGGUGGUGGUGGACGCGCGUCACCACAUGCUAGGACGGCUGGCGUCAAUCGUCGCCAAGGAGCUCCUCAACGGGCAGCGGGUCGUGGUCGUCCGCUGCGAGGAGAUCUGCCUCUCCGGGGGCCUCGUCCGCCAGAAGAUGAAGUACCUCCGCUUCCUCCGCAAGCGCAUGAACACCAAGCCAUCGCACGGCCCCAUCCACUUCCGCGCCCCCGCUAAGAUCCUCUGGCGCACCAUCCGAGGGAUGAUUCCUCACAAAACGAAGCGUGGGGCUGCGGCGCUAGCAAGGCUCAAGGCGUAUGAGGGUGUGCCGCCACCUUACGAUAAAACAAAGAGGAUGGUUAUUCCGGAUGCCCUCAAGGUAUUGAGGCUUCAGCCUGGGCAUAGAUAUUGUUUGCUAGGUCGACUGUCAUCGGAGGUUGGAUGGAAUUACUAUGAUACGGUUAAGGUGCUCGAGGCGAAGAGGAAAGAGAGGGCCAAGGUGGCUUAUGAGAGGAGAAAGCAGCUCACAAAGCUUAGGUUGAAGGCAGAGAAGACUGCCGAGGAGAAGCUCGGCCCGCAGCUUGACAUCCUUGCGCCACUGAAGUACUGAGUUGAUUACAUCCCUUUUUCCAUAAACAUCAGCAGCCUUUCUGUCAUUUUUAUUUGGUCAGACUAAAGCUUAUCCUGGUUUGGUUGUGUAAUCUGCAACAUCAGGUCUAAUGCUUUGCAGGAACACGGUUAAAAUCCAUCGUAGUAUGUUCUGCUGUGCUUAAUGUUCAUCU
Musa acuminata subsp. malaccensis (wild Malaysian banana) is the source of this 1058-nucleotide non-coding RNA. The record is from RefSeq and is a predicted model, not a curated record. NCBI's taxonomy places the organism in Eukaryota, Viridiplantae, Streptophyta, Magnoliopsida, Zingiberales, Musaceae.